GAUAAUGAAAAGAUUGGUUUGCCUGGGGCUGAGAGGUUUCAUCUGGAAGAUUAACAGGUGGUAAGCCUGGAAAG
RNAcentral lists this microRNA precursor (74 nucleotides) under Notamacropus eugenii (tammar wallaby). Its description in RNAcentral is "miRNA (ENSMEUG00000017213.1)". The record is from RNAcentral. Lineage: Eukaryota; Metazoa; Chordata; Mammalia; Diprotodontia; Macropodidae.